Molecule: long non-coding RNA, 592 nt
Filed under: Elaeis guineensis (African oil palm)
Lineage: Eukaryota; Viridiplantae; Streptophyta; Magnoliopsida; Arecales; Arecaceae
Description: long non-coding RNA (EGUI_LNC050571)
Source: RNAcentral
GUUUGGAGUGGCACCCUCCAUCGAUGGUCCAGUCCUAUCGUAGCACUGGAGCCAUAAAUCUGGCUAAAGAAUCGAAGAACCAGCAUACUCUGUAUUACUAUUGCUUUUGAUUUUAGAUUAGGGUGACAUCGAUCUUUGGAAGAUCGAUAAAAAGGGAGAACUUGACCGACCCAUUUGCAGAGGCCUCGAAACUAGGAAGUUCUACGAAAUCAAGUAGAAGAUAGGAUAUUUGAUAUCAUUCUGAUUGGCUUUAGUACAAGUGGGAGUUGUUGAAAAAUAUAUCCUAAAGCCUAUCAUCUAAGUGAUAGAUGAUUGAAAUUAGUAUAUGAAUUAUCUAAUAAUAAUAGUUAUUUGGCAGAUUCAUCAUAAAAGUUCUAUCUUCCUUAAAUGAACUCCUAAAUUAUGAUGAAGUCCUUAGAACCAUAAUCAAUCGAUAAAGAAGGAUUUAUCAGAUGGUUCUUAAAUUGUUCACGAUCAAAUGAUAAGUUAUUAACAAAGAUGAUAAUUUAUCAAUUGUAGGUCGCUGUAUGCCAUAUGCAUUGGUUGUCCUCAUAACCAAGUGGUGUGGAAACACUGGUAUGGCAUCCAGGUG